This 448-nucleotide ribosomal RNA is filed under the name uncultured bacterium. RNAcentral describes it as "SSU rRNA". It matches the Rfam family "Bacterial small subunit ribosomal RNA", at positions 26 to 518 of the family's 1533-position model. The record is from RNAcentral.
AGAGCGAACGCUGGCGGCAGGCCUAACACAUGCAAGUCGAGCGCCCGUAGCAAUACGGGAGCGGCAGACGGGAUAGUAACACGUGGGAACGCGCCCUUCGGUUCGGAAUAACUCAGGGAAACUUGAGCUAAUACCGGAUACGCCCUUACGGGGAAAGAUUUAUUGCCGAAGGAACGGCCCGCGUCCGAUUAGCUAGUUGGUGAGGUAAUGGCUCACCAAGGCGACGAUCGGUAGCUGGUCUGAGAGGAUGACCAGCAUCACUGGGACUGAGACACGGCCCAGACUCCUACGGGAGGCAGCAGUGGGGAAUAUGGACAAUGGGCGCAAGCCUGAUCCAGCCAUGCCGCGUGGAUGAUGAGGGCCUUAGGGUUGUAAAGUCCGUUUUAACGGGGAAGAUAAUGACGGUACCCGUAGAAUAAGCCCCGGCUAACUUCGUGCCAGCAGCCGC